GACGAACCGUCCAAACGUUAUUCGGAAUCACUGGGCUUACAGAGUUCGUAGGCGGUCUGGAAAGUUGGGUGUGAAAUCCCUCGGCUCAACCGAGGAACUGCGCUUGAAACUACCAGACUCGAGGGAGAUAGAGGAAAGCGGAACUGAUGGUGGAGCGGUGAAAUGCGUUGAUAUCAUCAGGAACACCGGUGGCGAAGGCGACUACCUGGCCUGUUCUUGACGCUGAGGCGCGAAAGCUAGGGGAGCAAACGGG
Molecule: ribosomal RNA, 253 nt
Filed under: uncultured bacterium
Lineage: Bacteria
Description: partial 16S ribosomal RNA
Rfam family: Bacterial small subunit ribosomal RNA
Source: RNAcentral